GUUCUCUUACUUGUGGCAGAUUUUACAAUAAAAAGGAAGUAUUGCUUUUUUGUAUCCAUCAAAAAAGGUAUUGCUGAAACUGUGAAACAGAGUGUGAAAUGAAGUAAUGCAUUAUUUUAUUUAAUAAAAGGUGUCUUUCUGAGUAAAUAAAAAUAAAAAUCACCCUGUGUUUAUGUUUUUUGUUAGAAUUAGUGGGUUUUCAAUUUCAAAAUAUUGGACAUUGAAUAGACAUUGUGACCUACUUGACUGACAUCUAGCUUAUUUGGAGUGGAAUUUUAAAGUAUUAUUUUUAAGUGGAGCCUAAUAACAUGGACUUAUAUUUUAAUAAAAAGUAUUCUUUUGUGUUUUAAUUAUAAUUCUAAGGCACAUUUUUAUUGGUAAAGGCUAAAAAAGGUAAUUUAAUAAUAUUAUUGCGAACGUCACAUCUUUUUCGUCCAUUGGGGUAUGUUACGAUCGCAAUUUAUUUGUUGGUUCUCAGACGGCCCGUUGUUAUUUUUAACUCGGGUUUUAUAAAUAAUUGAUAUAAAUAGCAAUCACAUUAAAUUUUGAUGACGAAAGGGGGUCAAAGGACUUUCGGAAUCAAUAUCAUUGGCUGUUUUAGUUUUUGCGAACGUUACUGCUCUACGUUUCCGUCCAAAUCAAUGUCACGUGAGCAAUAUAUAUUUAGAUCUGUAACUCUCCUGUAUAGGAGUUACGAUAUCGCCCUUUGCAGAAAUGGAUGCGGAGCCGGUUCCCUCACAUAAUGGGAAAGCAAAGAAGAUGCAGUCCUCCAGAACUAACAGAGACGAUAAAUUUUUCAAACAUUAAAAUAUUUUUAAGCUUCUUAGUCUAGGCAGUAUUUUCGACUUUUGAAUGCAAAUGCAUCAUGAAUUAAAUGGGCAAAGCAAGGUGUUCUGAAGACUACAAAAGACUUUCUUUACCAAAAUCCAUGGUGAAAGUCAUUGAGGCAUUGAUCACUAUG
Molecule: long non-coding RNA, 961 nt
Organism: Mytilus californianus (California mussel)
Lineage: Eukaryota; Metazoa; Mollusca; Bivalvia; Mytilida; Mytilidae
Exons: 2
Source: RefSeq, a predicted model, not a curated record